UGGGGAAUCUUGGACAAUGGGCGCAAGCCUGAUCCAGCCAUGCCGCGUGCGGGAAGAAGGCCUUCGGGUUGUAAACCGCUUUUGUCAGGGAAGAAACGCUCUGGGCUAAUACCCUGGGGUAAUGACGGUACCUGAAGAAUAAGCACCGGCUAACUACGUGCCAGCAGCCGCGGUAAUACGUAGGGUGCAAGCGUUAAUCGGAAUUACUGGGCGUAAAGCGUGCGCAGGCGGUUAUGCAAGACAGAUGUGAAAUCCCCGGGCUCAACCUGGGAACUGCAUUUGUGACUGUAUAGCUAGAGUACGGUAGAGGGGGAUGGAAUUCCGCGUGUAGCAGUGAAAUGCGUAGAUAUGCGGAGGAACACCGAUGGCGAAGGCAAUCCCCUGGACCUGUACUGACGCUCAUGCACGAAAGCGUGGGGAGCAAACAGGAUUAGAUACCCUGGUAGUCCCUGAGCGGGCUGGCAAGGCGCAU
RNAcentral lists this ribosomal RNA (472 nucleotides) under uncultured bacterium. RNAcentral describes it as "bacterial SSU rRNA". It matches the Rfam family "Bacterial small subunit ribosomal RNA", at positions 355 to 825 of the family's 1533-position model. The record is from RNAcentral.